UGGUACAGCACCCAAUAGAAGUUUGCAGAUGUGACAGUGAUCAGUGGAGACCUGGUGCAAGGUUUCUAGAAAGGACUUCAAACACCAUGUUUAAUUUCCUAGUGCUGUAAAGCUGGAAAUUCAAACUUCCAUCAGCACGUACGCAUGGUCUCAUAAGGGGCAGAGAUGAAGCCGUGUGUCCUCGCUAGCACCCAUGGAUGCAUGGCAGUGAUUAUGUCCCAUGAUGCUGGAGCGAUAUUGGGGCAACCCAGCGCACGGCGCUGGCUGGAAGGAGUGGUGUGGAGCAUCAAGGAGAGGUUUUUCAGCCCUCAGACCUGCCCCGGUCACCCUAGUUCUUGCAGUGAAGCAUGGGCUGGCAGUGGAGCUGCAGUGACUGAAUCGUCGCACAUCCAGCUCUGUUGUGUGAAUGUCUCUGCUCUUGUCCUUCCUAACCCCGACUUGUUGAUCGCAGAUCGUCAAGGACUCUUUCCUGCAAGAUGUGGGCAGCGCAUACUGAAGGCCGUGGGGAGAGGAAGCUCUGCUGCAUGCUGUUUGCAACCUGCACGCCCCCAUCAGCCCCAGUGGGCGUUCCUGUCAGCGGUGUGACCAAAGGAUAGGGACACCACGCCUGCCCUGAGCUCAGAGGUGGCAUGGAAAUGGUGCUCCUACAGCUGGGGCAGAGCAAGGCCUCUGCUGGUUGCCUGGUUCUGUAGAGCUGCAUGUUCCAGGAGUAAUCACCACUUAUUUUACUGGUGUGUAUGUGACCUUAGAUGCUAAAAGGGUCCUGAGCCUUUAAGCCCCCCAAAUCUCCCCCAUUUUAUGUACUUCCUGAGGUCAGAGGGAGUGCUUGAAUUCUUUGUGGUUUUGUCUCUCAGAGUUUAACCGGUAUACUGCUGGUUUGUGUUCUUGGCACUAAAAAACAAGAGCCAUCAGAAUACACAUACGCUGUUCUAAGGUAUUCUUUCCUUAAACAGUUGAAAUAGUUCAGCCUGUUUGACCAGACCAUGCUGUGAUAACAUGGUUUUACACAAUUUAUUCUGAGAAGCUUUGCUUGCAGUUUUCCUGAUGGAUAACUUUCUCCCUGAAAUGGUACUAAACCCUAUGAAAUACAGCAGAUCUCUAUGUAGAAUUGAGGGACUCUGAUGUUUGCUUAAGUCAAUCUGCAGCAAUUCAAGGCAGGUUCAUCUGAGCUCUCUGAUUUGUACAUUGCAUUUUGAAUGUUUUCUAUCGGUAGCAUUGAUAAGGUUCCUAGCAGUUAAACCCCCAAUGUGUAAGUGGAAUUAGGGGCCAUUGUAUGCAUCCCAGUUACCUCUGACUGUUCAAACCUUGUUUGUGUAAAACAAUAAAACACCUAAACAUUAAAAGGAGAUGUGAUUC
RNAcentral lists this long non-coding RNA (1356 nucleotides) under Anser brachyrhynchus (Pink-footed goose). RNAcentral's name for it is "lncRNA (ENSABRG00000011477.1)". The record is from RNAcentral. Lineage: Eukaryota; Metazoa; Chordata; Aves; Anseriformes; Anatidae.